CAAGUCGAACGCUUUUUCUUUCACCGGAGCUUGCUCCACCGAAAGAAAAGGAGUGGCGAACGGGUGAGUAACACGUGGGUAACCUGCCCAUCAGAAGGGGAUAACACUUGGAAACAGGUGCUAAUACCGUAUAACAAUCGAAACCGCAUGGUUUCGGUUUGAAAGGCGCUUUUGCGUCACUGAUGGAUGGACCCGCGGUGCAUUAGCUAGUUGGUGAGGUAACGGCUCACCAAGGCAACGAUGCAUAGCCGACCUGAGAGGGUGAUCGGCCACAUUGGGACUGAGACACGGCCCAAACUCCUACGGGAGGCAGCAGUAGGGAAUCUUCGGCAAUGGACGAAAGUCUGACCGAGCAACGCCGCGUGAGUGAAGAAGGUUUUCGGAUCGUAAAACUCUGUUGUUAGAGAAGAACAAGGAUGAGAGUAAAAUGUUCAUCCCUUGACGGUAUCUAACCAGAAAGCCACGGCUAACUACGUGCCAGCAGCCGCGGUAAUACGUAGGUGGCAAGCGUUGUCCGGAUUUAUUGGGCGUAAAGCGAGCGCAGGCGGUUUCUUAAGUCUGAUGUGAAAGCCCCCGGCUCAACCGGGGAGGGUCAUUGGAAACUGGGAGACUUGAGUGCAGAAGAGGAGAGUGGAAUUCCAUGUGUAGCGGUGAAAUGCGUAGAUAUAUGGAGGAACACCA
Molecule: ribosomal RNA, 681 nt
Filed under: uncultured Bacilli bacterium
Lineage: Bacteria; Bacillati; Bacillota; Bacilli
Description: bacterial SSU rRNA
Rfam family: Bacterial small subunit ribosomal RNA
Source: RNAcentral